Molecule: ribosomal RNA, 243 nt
Filed under: uncultured bacterium
Lineage: Bacteria
Description: partial 16S ribosomal RNA
Rfam family: Bacterial small subunit ribosomal RNA
Source: RNAcentral
GCAAGUCGAGCGCGAAAGGACUUCGGUCUGAGUAGAGCGGCGGACGGGUGAGUAACGCGUAGGAAUCUACCCAGUAGUGGGGGACAACUCGGGGAAACUCGAGCUAAUACCGCAUACGCCCUACGGGGGAAAGCGGGGGAUCUUCGGACCUCGCGCUAUUGGAAGAGCCUGCGUUGGAUUAGCUAGUUGGUGGGGUAAAGGCCUACCAAGGCGACGAUCCAUAGCUGGUCUGAGAGGAUGAUC